GGGGUCAACCUCCAUUGUGACACUUCUAAACCCCACCAUCCAAAAUUCCCAAGGAGUGGCAGCUGGGGCCAGAAAUGGAGGGACCAGAACCACAGAACACAAACAAGGGUCCUUUGGCUGCGUUGACGUCUUCAAACAGCCCUGCUCAAGAAGCUCACGACCAGCAUCCCAGGGCUUGAGAAGACAAAAAUGGCAGCUGAGAGCUUUUCAACAUGCCCUAGAUCAAAGGAAGCCUAUCUGGACACAGCAAAUAUUAUUAACAUUAUCAAUGCAGCCAUCACUGGGCACUCGGUCUCCAUUUUCACUCGAAUGAAGUUAGUGUGUGAAAACCCAAUUAGGAGAGAGAAACAAGAUGUACUUUAGAGGUGCGUCCACCACAGCCCAUCUCAGCCUUGAAUAAUCAUCCCUUCCGGUGUGUGCUUGAGUAGUUUACCAGAAUGUACUCACGUACACAGAAAGCAGAAGUGACAGUCAAGGAACUGGAGCCGAUGCAAGGCCCUAGGGACACGGCGUACGUCCCCCUCCUUCUCGCUGCCAACGUCCGGACGGAGUCAGAGAGCAGUACUUCUAGGCCUGGAGCCACACCAUUGUCCAUACUGGGGACAUGGUGCAUACCAUGGGCCCAGAAGCAGCACCACUCCCAUCUGCUGUAUUCCAUCAACAGCCUGUACCUUUGUUGGGACAACCAGAAAAGUCCAUAGAUGUUAUCCAGCGUCCCAAAGUCCCAAGGACCUGUUAUGAAAUUGUCUCCAUCAGAGUCCCCGGCCACAUGGAGGUACUCCAGAAACCCUGACAAGCUGGGAGCGAGGUCACAGGUUCCCAGGGCUGGCUGAUGAUGUUUAUUGGAAUGGCAAAGCUGUAUACACAGCACAGCCCUUAGCAGCCAUGUGCCACUGGCUGGAAUGGCUGGCUUAUGGAAAGCCCUAGGCCCUCCAGCACUCCCUGGGGUGUAUCAAGAUGUCUCCAUUUGAGCAGACCCAACUAAGAUCGGGUUGUAACAAAGGGAAGAAACCUGUCUGAGCAGGGACCCAAUCUCGGCAGAUCCACACACCCACAAGUCUCGUUUCUAUGUCCCCAAAUGGUGACAUAACUACUAUGCUCAAAUCUCUCCCACAGGGCUCUUUUUAGAUUAUUGAUAUGGAGGUACCUUGGAAAACUAAAUCCAACGUGAUGCAUCCAGGUGAGGUACCUGCUGUCUCCAAAAUCAAGCGGCAAAGGGCAGAUCUAAGUUUGAGGCCAGCCAUAGAUACAUACCGUGAUCACGCUGCAAGAUCUAAAAUAAAUAAAUAAAAAACCUUGAUGUCA
Molecule: long non-coding RNA, 1305 nt
Organism: Mus spicilegus (steppe mouse)
Lineage: Eukaryota; Metazoa; Chordata; Mammalia; Rodentia; Muridae
Source: Ensembl